Molecule: ribosomal RNA, 310 nt
Filed under: Podarcis muralis (Common wall lizard)
Lineage: Eukaryota; Metazoa; Chordata; Lepidosauria; Squamata; Lacertidae
Description: partial 12S ribosomal RNA
Rfam family: Bacterial small subunit ribosomal RNA
Source: RNAcentral
CCGCCAGAGAACUACAAGUGAAAAACUUAAAACUCAAAGGACUUGACGGUGUCCCAUAUCGACCUAGAGGAGCCUGUCCUAUAAUCGAUACUCCCCGCUCCACCCAACCUCAACUAGCAAAUAUUCAGCCUAUAUACCGCCGUCGACAGUUUACCCUAUGAAGGCCUAAUAGUAGACACAAUAGCCUUAACGCUAAUACGUCAGGUCAAGGUGUAGCAAAUGUUGAGGAAGAGAUUGGCUACAUUUUUUAUGAUAAAAAAUACGAAUUGCACUAUGAAAUACUGCAUGAAGGCGAAUUUAGUAGUAAAAC